AGAGUUUGAUCCUGGCUCAGGAUGAACGCUAGCUACAGGCUUAGCACAUGCAAGUCGAGGGGAAACGACAUCGAAAGCUUGCUUUUGAUGGGCGUCGACCGGCGCACGGGUGAGUAACGCGUAUCCAACCUGCCCACCACUUGGGGAUAACCUUGCGAAAGUAAGACUAAUACCCAAUGACGUCUCUAGAAGACAUCUGAAAGAGAUUAAAGAUUUAAUCGGUGAUGGAUGGGAUGCGUCUGAUUAGCUUGUUGGCGGGGUAACGGCCACCAAGGCGACAAUCAGUAGGGGUUCUGAGAGGAAGGUCCCCACAUUGGAACUGAGACACGGUCAAACUCUACGGAGGCA
RNAcentral lists this ribosomal RNA (348 nucleotides) under uncultured bacterium. RNAcentral describes it as "bacterial SSU rRNA". It matches the Rfam family "Bacterial small subunit ribosomal RNA", at positions 8 to 350 of the family's 1533-position model. The record is from RNAcentral.